UCUCCCACGUCCGUGGCACUCCUCCUCCCAGCCACGGCCGCAUAAAGAACAGCGUUCCUCCCAGAGCCGUUCUUUACAAGUAACACCCAUCGCUCCUCCCAGCGGUGGGUGUUCUUC
This 117-nucleotide small RNA is filed under the name Phyllobacterium sp. YR531. RNAcentral describes it as "Alphaproteobacterial ar14". It matches the Rfam family "Alphaproteobacterial ar14". Rfam says of the family: Smr14C2 was renamed NfeR1 (Nodule Formation Efficiency RNA) highly expressed in salt stress and during the symbiotic interaction on legume roots. The record is from Rfam by way of RNAcentral. Lineage: Bacteria; Pseudomonadati; Pseudomonadota; Alphaproteobacteria; Hyphomicrobiales; Phyllobacteriaceae.